RNAcentral lists this ribosomal RNA (263 nucleotides) under uncultured bacterium. RNAcentral describes it as "partial 16S ribosomal RNA". It matches the Rfam family "Bacterial small subunit ribosomal RNA", at positions 109 to 375 of the family's 1533-position model. The record is from RNAcentral.
AGUAAUGUAUCGGAACGUACCUUUCAGUGGGGGAUAACGUAGCGAAAGUUACGCUAAUACCGCAUAUUCUGUGAGCAGGAAAGCAGGGGAUCGCAAGACCUUGCGCUGAUUGAGCGGCCAAUAUCAGAUUAGCUAGUUGGUGAGGUAAAGGCUCACCAAGGCGACGAUCUGUAGCGGGUCUGAGAGGAUGAUCCGCCACACUGGAACUGAGACACGGUCCAGACUCCUACGGGAGGCAGCAGUGGGGAAUUUUGGACAAUGGG